This 253-nucleotide ribosomal RNA is filed under the name uncultured bacterium. RNAcentral describes it as "partial 16S ribosomal RNA". It matches the Rfam family "Bacterial small subunit ribosomal RNA", at positions 524 to 776 of the family's 1533-position model. The record is from RNAcentral.
UACAGAGGUCCCAAGCGUUGUUCGGAUUCACUGGGCGUAAAGGGUGCGUAGGUGGCAGGGUAAGUUUGAUGUGAAAUCUCCGAGCUUAACUCGGAAACUGCAUUGAAUACUAUCUUGCUUGAGGGUUGGAGGGGGGACUGGAAUUCUCGGUGUAGCAGUGAAAUGCGUAGAUAUCGAGAGGAAUACCAGUGGCGAAGGCGAGUCCCUGGACAACUCCUGACACUGAGGCACGAAAGCUAGGGGAGCAAACAGG